RNAcentral lists this ribosomal RNA (426 nucleotides) under uncultured eukaryote. Its description in RNAcentral is "bacterial SSU rRNA". It matches the Rfam family "Eukaryotic small subunit ribosomal RNA", at positions 592 to 1018 of the family's 1831-position model. The record is from RNAcentral.
CAAUAGCGUAUAUUAAAGUUGUUGCAGUUAAAAAGCUCGUAGUUGGAUUUCUGGUGGGAGCGAUCGGUCCGCCCCGCAAGGGGUGUGUACUAGCGUCGUCUCCGGCCAUCCUUGUGGGAACUGCUCUGUCCUUAGUUGGAUGGGGUUUGGGAACACAUCGUUUACUGUGAAAAAUUAGAGUGUUUAAAGCAGGCUUAGGCCGUUGAAUACAUUAGCAUGGAAUAAUAAGAUAAGACUUGGGUCAUUAUUUUGUUGGUUUGCGGAUCGAGGUAAUGAUUAAUAGGGAUAGUUGGGGGCAUUUUUAUUCCAUUGUCAGAGGUGAAAUUCUUGGAUUAACGGAAGAAAAACUACUGCGAAAGCAUCUGCCAAGGAUGUUUUCAUUGAUCAAGAACGAAAGUUAGGGGAUCGAAGACGAUCAGAUACCAU